CUCAGGAUGAACGCUAGCGGCAGGCCUAAUACAUGCAAGUCGAACGCUCAGUAGCAAUACUGGGAGUGGCGCACGGGUGCGUAACGCGUACACAAAUCUACCUCUAAGCGGGGGGACACCUCCUGGAAACGGGGAUUAAUACCGCAUAAUAUGCCGAAGUCGCAUGACUUUGGUAUUAAAGCAGCAAUGCACUUAGAGAUGAGUGUGCGUCCCAUUAGGUAGUUGGUGAGGUAACGGCUCACCAAGCCUAUGAUGGGUAGCCGGUCUGAGAGGAUGGUCGGCCACACGGGCACUGAGACACGGGCCCGACUCCUACGGGAGGCAGCAGUAAGGAAUAUUGGUCAAUGGUGGAAACACUGAACCAGCCAUGCCGCGUGGAGGAAUAAGGUCCUACGGAUUGUAAACUCCUUUUGACGAGGAAGAAAAUGUUAGAUUUAUCUAAUUUUGACGGUACUCGUAGAAUAAGCACCGGCUAACUCCGUG
This 483-nucleotide ribosomal RNA is filed under the name uncultured bacterium. RNAcentral's name for it is "bacterial SSU rRNA". It matches the Rfam family "Bacterial small subunit ribosomal RNA", at positions 23 to 507 of the family's 1533-position model. The record is from RNAcentral.